Molecule: long non-coding RNA, 4025 nt
Organism: Anneissia japonica
Lineage: Eukaryota; Metazoa; Echinodermata; Crinoidea; Comatulida; Comatulidae
Exons: 3
Source: RefSeq, a predicted model, not a curated record
UACAAAAUGUUGAGAUGUAACAAUAAUUACAGAAACAAAACAUGAUAUGAUGAGACAUUAAAAUCACUUUUUUCAGUAGCUUGGUAGCAAGGCGAGCCCUGCUGAUCGAGGAAUCGCCCCGACUAUUCUAUACCCCUUUUACACUGCAAGCAAAAUUCCGGACGUAACCUGGGAUUUUUCAAUACCCGGGUUAAAAUCUCCCGAGUUGUGGUUAGUGUAAACCACGUCAAAAAGUCCUACUCGGGUUGCCAAACAUUCUGGGAGGGAUGUGCGGGACACAUUCAGCGUAGAACAACCCAGGUGCAAAUAGCACCAAAUUUUAUUCCGGAAUUAGGCCUUACCUGGCGUCUACCGCAGCUGUGGUCAGGUAGGCCUAAACAUUGCCUACAAUGGGCUAGGCCUAGACACUUGUCAAAUUAAACCCUUCGGUAUAGACUUGAUAUCAAAACUGCUGAUUUAGUUCGCAUAAUUUAAAAACAAUCUGCAAUCGGCUUCGGGAGGACGAGGAACUCGAGCGAAGUGAUGAUCACCAUCGCAACAAAAACUGAGGGCGGUAUUUGAACCCGAGUUCGUUGCCAGUGUAAAAUGGCAGCAACUCAGGAUCAACCAGGACUUUUUCGUUCGACGUAAAUGGGAAAUGCACUUGGUAUUACUCCGGAAAAAACCCAGGUCGAUUCUGCCUUUGGCAGUGUAAAAAGGGUUUAAUUGUGGCUUUGUGAUGACUAGGAACUUGAGCGAAGUGAUGAUCACCAUCGCAAAGUUCGUUGCCAGUGUAAAAUGGGAGCAACUCGGAAUCAACCCUGACUUUUGUGUUCGAUGUAAAUGGAAAAUGCACCCGGGAUUACUCUGGAAGUAACCCGGUCGAUUCUGCCUUUGGCAGAGUGUAAAAGGGGUAUUAGACCAUAAUGUGAAAUCGUGAGUUUUUGUGAUCGUUUACGUACGCAGUAUCAGAGAGAGGGUGUAGUCGACAUCAAUUCAAUCAUGGAGGAAUAAUUCAAUUGAAUUAAUAAACGUAUAUCAGUCCGAUGACUUGUUUAUAAUUAGGCCUAGGAGGACCUACACCUAUGCCUAGGAUGAACAGUCAGUGUCUACCCAGCAGCAGUAGCAGCACUCCAGUCCAGGACACCACUCCAGUCCGCAGCAUGGUGAUAGGCCUAAACAUGACACUCUGGUCACAGGUAUUUGUGAAUCGCCAUGAUGACACAAAAAUACCACAUUUGCCGUGAGUACAACGACCCAACAUUGGCAUCUACGAAAGGAGGUGGUACAAAAGCAUACAAGCACCCAGCAAGACCUUGGCAAGAAACACUCUGGUUGUAAUGGAAGCACACAAUUUAAGGAGCGAAUAACAGGCUCGAAUGGAUUUGAUGCAAACAAUUCCAUCUAUGUAGACAUGAUGAAAUGUCCAAGCCAUGGUAGCAGAAGGUGGCGAUGCUCUGCAGCAAGUUAUUGAGGCCGAAAUAUUUCAACAGAAUUGAAUUAAAAUUAUUUAUCUAGUGAUAUUUUUCUGAAGAUACAUUACUGAAAUGCCACACACUUAGUUUUUGUUUUUUACUCAUCUGGAGAAAAUUUCGAUAUGCGCAUGCGUCGGAAAAACUUUGCCGACAUUUUGUUUUUCAUCGCGAGAGGGUAAUGUUUUUCAUCGCGAGAGGGUAAGCGAGCUCCAUAAUGCAUACCUUGUUGGUGUAGUUAACCAACAACUCGAAAAUAAAUCAUUGACCGAGGCACGUUUUAUCUACCACCAUACAGCGCAUGCGUGACAUGCAGUAUGCAGAGCAGCUGCGGUUGUAGUUAAUUGCGUGUCACUAAGCAGAUUUUGAAGAACGAAAGAAAACUUGUUAUUGUCAAACCAUGGAGGUAUGUCAAACAAUGAAGACUAUUUUAGUAGAUGAUAAAUGGAUAAGUUUGACUUCUAAAACCACCAACUUUGGUUCUGUGGUUUGACCAGUCAAGUUCAAAACAGUGGCAAAUCUGCCAAAUUGUGAACAAAUAAAAAUGGACAUUUUGUGGCGUAACCCAACACCACCCCAGCCCUACAAUGGUUUGGGUUAAGGUGGGAGCUUUUUAGGACAUGAGAGCUUUGGAUACCCGAAAAUGACGUCCUGAUUUCCGAUAUCAAAAACACCAAAAAAUAGGGACGUCCCUAUUUUUAGAAUAAAAAAAAAAAUUAAUUGCAAGAAGUAUCCACUACUUGCCAGUGUGAUGAAGGGAAUAUUAGUCUGUGGUUCCCCGGGUAUUAUCCCAUCCCCAUAAACGUGAAACUGUUCCGAUUUCGGGGGGGGGGGUGGAAUUAUACCCCGGGAUUUCCUAGGCCUAGUAUAUGAACAGACGGAAAUGACGAUCGUUUUGCAAGGUGGUUUUCACCUUCGAUUCAAUAGCCUAUCAAAACAAUUUUCGGGCGAAGAAAUCAGUCCUGCAUGAUGUAACGAGUUAUAUUUAGCAGCGAAUCUCUGUGGAAACACGUGAGUCUUCACGCUGUGAAUUAACGAUCCGAUCAGCCCACUGGGCAGGUCUUUUCAGGGAUGGACCGCGGUGUUGUCUAUCUUUACUUUAGCCGCAGUUUAGCGAGCUGCUUAUUUUUAGCAACAGUAAACAACAAAGUAAUUUACAAGAAUGGGCUUAACCUUUGUGUUUUAAUUCAUGGCGACCAAUGUCAGUUUUAAGCAAUUUUAAGAGUUUCAAGUUGGCAGAAUUCGGAGACAAUUCCUUUAUUUUUUGAGCAUUUGUUAAAUUUAUCGACCUAGGCCGACUUACCAAUCCUCAGACCUUGGGACUUCACCCGGGGAAAUUCGUGUACAUGAAGUUGGGCGUAAAAUCGGUGUGGGAUUCUACCCGGGGAACUAUGAUAAUAUUUUAUAGCAGUAGUGACUGAGAGAGUUUUCUCUAUUUGUUGAAAAAACAAAACCAAGCUUCGAGCUAGCAUGACAACAAAAACUUAAAGUGCUUUAAUGACACACAAGCUGGAAAUGUUGAACAGAGAUUAUAAGUGUCAUUCGAACAAAUAUUGACGUUAUGACUCCAAUGAGAUCCAGCAAAACAAGCAAUAUACCGUGCCCUACUAAUUAAAAUGUAACUUAAAUAUUUUUUCUUGGUUGUGAGGUAAAUAAACAGUACACUUGAAAUUAAGUAACUCUUGUUUUGUUUGAAGCAACUGUACAGGAAUUAGGAUAUAUAAUUGCCAUCUUAAUUUUUUGUCACCAAUGAAUAGCAUCCUUAUUUUUGAUAUUCGACUGGCAGGUAUGUAAAUAUACAGCAUUUGAUGGAUGGACCUGUAUGGGGGUGUAGGUGUACGUAAAAACAUUAGAAAUCUUUACUGGACUACAAAUCCCUCUAAACUAGUUUUACGUACAAAGGAACGUACACACCUGCGGGGUUCUGGUUAGAAGUUUUGUUACUUGCAAAAUAUCUUUAAUAUUAGUAAAUACUAUUAUAAGUACUGUACUUUCUUCUUUUAAAACAGAGUAAUCCCAUUCAAUCUAGUAAUCCUUUUGAAGCAAUGUGACCCAGAAUUAUAAAACAACUUGUGAGGAAUAAUUGUGAAAUAUAUAAUGUGCGAAGUUGAUAAUACAGUAUAAAAAUGUGGCUGAAUAUAUACAGGAACAACUAUUUUAAUGUAUGGCUUUGUACAGCGUUAAAAGUUAUUCUAUGAAUCUAUUUUGUAAUGCCUGGAUUAUGCCUAUUUCUGCAUGCUGAUCAAUUCGGUAUUGCAAUUUAUAAGAAAGCUUCAAUUUUGUUACACCAUUUUUUGUUUAGUAUUUUGAAAUAUAUAGUUGAACUUGCCUAUGUCGUACCCAAAAUGCCAUUGAGGAAUUAUUUGAUCUUAACAAAAUUUGACUUAUACUUAAAACGGUAAUGGAAAACACAACAAUUUGGCAUGUAAAAUUAGAUCAACUUAGAAAUUAUUAGAGUAUGGCAAAGUCGUCUUCGGCAAGUUUAACUGCACUGCUUUAUUUAUCAUGUCUGUUUUCUUGUUUUAUUUACCAUUGCCAAGAUUUCUUCUUUCAUGAUGAUAUUGAACAUCUAUG